AACGAACGUUGAUGGCGUGCCUCAUACAUGCAAGUCGAGCGCCCCGCAAGGGGAGCGGCGGACGGGUGAGUAACACGUAAAGAAUCUGCCCGAAAGUAGGGGAAUAACUAUCCCAACGGAUAGCUGAUACCGCAUGACGAUGGAGGGGGCGAUCCCCUUUUCUCAAAAGGCUUCGGCCGCUUUCGGAUGACUUUGCGUCCCAUUAGCUUGUUGGCGGUGUAACGGACCACCAAGGCGACGAUGGGUAUCCGGCCUGAGAGGGUGUACGGACACAUUGGGACUGAGAUACGGCCCAGACUCCUACGGGAGGCAGCAGUAGGGAAUUUUGCGCAAUGGGGGAAACCCGUGACGCAGCAACGCCAUGUGUGGGAUGAAGCAUUUCGCUGUGUAAACCACUGUCAGC
Molecule: ribosomal RNA, 403 nt
Filed under: uncultured bacterium
Lineage: Bacteria
Description: bacterial SSU rRNA
Rfam family: Bacterial small subunit ribosomal RNA
Source: RNAcentral